AAUGUCUUCUUUUAGAGAACCACUGAAUGGAAUGAAACCAAACAUGGCAUGAAUGUUCCUUAUGAGGUGCUGACCAAGUGUUGUUACUUUGCAGUCGGUCCAUCAUCCAAGAUGGCCGACAGCGGGGGACUUAGUUUAACAUAGGACCUAUGGGAAAUACAUACAAAUGUCUUCUUUUAGAGAACCACUGAAUGGAAUGAAACCAAACAUGGCAUGAAUGUUCCUUAUGAGAUGCUGACCAUGUGUUGUUACUUUGUAGCCGAUCCAUCAUCCAAGAUGGCCGCCAGCGGGGGACUUAGUUUAACAUAGGACCCUAUGGGAAAUGCAUACAAAUGUCUUCUUUUAGAGAACCACUGAAUGGAAUGAAACCAAACAUGGCAUGAAUGUUCCUAAUGAGGUUCUGACCAAGUGUUAUUACUUUGUAGCCGAUCCAUCAUCCAAGAUGGCCGCCAGCGGGGGACUUACUUUAACAUAGGACCCUAUGGGAAAUACAUACAAAUGUCUUCUUUUAGAGAACCACUGAAUGGAAUGAAACCAAACAUGGCAUGAAUGUUCCUUAUGAGAUGCUGACCAAGUGUUGUUACUUUGUAGCCGAUCUAUCAUCCAAGAUGGCCGCCAGCGGGGGACUUAGUUUAACAUAGGACCCUAUGGGAAAUACAUAAAAAUGUCUUCUUUUAGAGAACCACUGAAUGGAAUGAAACCAAACAUGGCAUGAAUGUUCCUUAUGAGAUGUUGACCAAGUGUUGUUACUUUGCAGUCGGUCUAUCAUCCAAGAUGGCCGCCAGCGGGGGACUUAGUUUAACAUAGGACCCUAUGGG
Long non-coding RNA from Mytilus californianus (California mussel), 818 nucleotides. RefSeq lists it as uncharacterized. The transcript is spliced from 3 exons. Lineage: Eukaryota; Metazoa; Mollusca; Bivalvia; Mytilida; Mytilidae. The record is from RefSeq and is a predicted model, not a curated record.